Molecule: ribosomal RNA, 253 nt
Filed under: uncultured bacterium
Lineage: Bacteria
Description: partial 16S ribosomal RNA
Rfam family: Bacterial small subunit ribosomal RNA
Source: RNAcentral
UACAGAGGUGGCAAGCGUUGUUCGGAAUUACUGGGCGUAAAGGGCUCGUAGGCGGCCAACUAAGUCAUACGUGAAAUCCCUCAGCUUAACUGGGGAACUGCGUGUGAUACUGGAUGGCUUGGAUUUGGGAGAGGGAUGCGGAAUUCCAGGUGCAGCGGUGAAAUGCGUAGAUAUCUGGAGGAACACCGGUGGCGAAGGCGGCAUCCUGGACCAAUAUUGACGCUGAGGAGCGAAAGCCAGGGGAGCAAACGGG